CGGGUGAGUAACACGUAAACAACCUGCCUUCAAGAUGGGGACAACAGACGGAAACGACUGCUAAUACCGAAUACGAUCCGAAAGUCGCAUGACAUUCGGAUGAAAGGGUGGCCUAUCGAAGAAGCUAUCGCUUGAAGAGGGGUUUGCGUCCGAUUAGGUAGUUGGUGAGGUAACGGCCCACCAAGCCGACGAUCGGUAGCCGGUCUGAGAGGAUGAACGGCCACACUGGAACUGAGACACGGUCCAGACUCCUACGGGAGGCAGCAGGU
Molecule: ribosomal RNA, 269 nt
Filed under: uncultured Dialister sp.
Lineage: Bacteria; Bacillati; Bacillota; Negativicutes; Veillonellales; Veillonellaceae
Description: partial 16S ribosomal RNA
Rfam family: Bacterial small subunit ribosomal RNA
Source: RNAcentral